AUUGAACGCUGGCGGCAGGCCUAACACAUGCAAGUCGGACGGUAGCACAGAGGAGCUUGCUCCUCGGGUGACGAGUGGCGGACGGGUGAGUAAUGUCUGGGGAUCUGCCCGAUAGAGGGGGAUAACCACUGGAAACGGUGGCUAAUACCGCAUAACGUCGCAAGACCAAAGAGGGGGACCUUCGGGCCUCUCACUAUCGGAUGAACCCAGAUGGGAUUAACUAGUAGGCGGGGUAAUGGCCCACCUAGGCGACGAUCCCUAGCUGGUCUGAGAGGAUGACCAGCCACACUGGAACUGAGACACGGUCCAGACUCCUACGGGAGGCAGCAGUGGGGAAUAUUGCACAAUGGGCGCAAGCCUGAUGCAGCCAUGCCGCGUGUAUGAAGAAGGCCUUCGGGUUGUAAAGUACUUUCAGCGGGGAGGAAGGCGAUGUGGUUAAUAACCUUGUCGAUUGACGUUACCCGCAGAGGAAGCACCGGCUAACUCCGUGCCAGCAGCCGCGGUAA
Molecule: ribosomal RNA, 506 nt
Filed under: uncultured bacterium
Lineage: Bacteria
Description: partial 16S ribosomal RNA
Rfam family: Bacterial small subunit ribosomal RNA
Source: RNAcentral